GAUGAACGCUAGCUACAGGCUUAACACAUGCAAGUCGAGGGGAAACGACAUCGAAAGCUUGCUUUUGAUGGGCGUCGACCGGCGCACGGGUGAGUAACGCGUAUCCAACCUGCCCAUCACUUGGGAAUAACCUUGCGAAAGUAAGACUAAUACCCAAUGACAUCCCACGAAGACAUCUGAAUGGGAUUAAAGAUUUAUCGGUGAUGGAUGGGGAUGCGUCUGAUUAGCUUGUUGGCGGGGUAACGGCCCACCAAGGCAACGAUCAGUAGGGGUUCUGAGAGGAAGGUCCCCCACAUUGGAACUGAGACACAGUCCAAACUCCUACGGGAGGCAGCAGUGAGGAAGAUUGGUCAAUGGGCGAGAGCCUGAACCAGCCAAGUAGCGUGCAGGAUGACGGCCCUAUGGGUUGUAAACUGCUUUUAUAAGGGAAGAAAGUGGGUCUCGUGAGACUUUUUGCAUGUACCUUAUGAAUAAGGACCGGCUAAUUCCGUG
Molecule: ribosomal RNA, 492 nt
Filed under: uncultured bacterium
Lineage: Bacteria
Description: partial 16S ribosomal RNA
Rfam family: Bacterial small subunit ribosomal RNA
Source: RNAcentral